UCUCAAAGAUUAAGCCAUGCAUGUCUAAGUACAAGCCUCCACAAGGUGAAACCGCGAAUGGCUCAUUAAAUCAGUUAUGGUUCCUUAGAUCGUCUUAUCCUACUUGGAUAACUGUAGUAAUUCUAGAGCUAAUACAUGCAAUCAAGCUCCGACCUCUAGGGGGAAGGGCGCUUUUAUUAGACCAAAACCAAUCGGCCAGGGGGCGACUCCUGGUCGAGCCGUUCUUGGUGACUCUGGAUAACCUGCAGCUGAUCGCACGGCCUUGCGCCUGCGACGUAUCUUUCAAAUGUCUGCCCUAUCAGGUCUCGACGGUUGGUGAUAUGCCAACCGUGCUUUUGACGGGUAGCGGGGAAUCAGGGUUCGAUUCCGGAGAGGGAGCAUGAGAAACGGCUACCACAUCCAAGGAAGGCAGCAGGCGCGCAAAUUACCCACUCCUGGCUCGGGGAGGUAGUGACGAAAAAUAACAAUACGGGACUCUAUUGAGGCCUCGUAAUUGGAAUGAGUACACUUUAAAUCCUUUAACAAGGAUCCAUUGGAGGGCAAGUCUGGUGCCAGCAGCCGCGGUAAUUCCAGCUCCAAUAGCGUAUAUUAAAGUUGUUGCAGUUAAAAAGCUCGUAGUUGGAUCAUACGGGUCUGGCUGGCGGUCCACGUCGCGAGGCGCUAUCGCCAUGUCCAGGCCCAGCCUCGUCGGUCAGUCCAUCGGUGCUCUUCGCUGAGUGCCAUGGCCGGCCGUCACGUUUACUUUGAAAAAAUUAGGGUGUUCAAAGCAGGCGCCUGCCUGUAUAUCUGCGCAUGGAAUAAUUGAAUAGGACCUCGGUUCUGUUUUGUUGGUUUCUGGAGUUCGAGGUAAUGAUCAAUAGGGACUGCCGGGGGCAUCUGUAUUGCAGCGGGAGAGGUGAAAUUCAUUGAUCGUUGCAAGACAAACAAGUGCGAAGGCAUUUGCCAAGAAUGUCUUCAUUAAUCAAGAGCGAAAGUCAGAGGUUCGAAGACGAUCAGAUACCGUCGUAGUUCUGACCAUAAAUGAUGCCAGCUAUGGCUUUGCCGGCGUAGUCUUCAUUGACUCGGCGAGGCCCCCCCCGGAAACGCAUAAGCUUAUGGGUUCCGGGGGAAGUAUGGUUGCAAAACUGAAACUUAAAGGAAUUGACGGAAGGGCACCACCAGGAGUGGAGCCUGCGGCUUAAUUUGACUCAACACGGGGAAACUCACCCGGCCCGGACACCGUUAGGAUUGACAGAUUGAGAGCUCUUUCUUGAUUCGGUGGGUGGUGGUGCAUGGCCGUUCUUAGUUGGUGGAGCGAUUUGUCUGGUUAAUUCCGAUAACGAACGAGACUCUAGCCUAUUAACUAGUUCGUCGAUACUGUAGCGUCGACGCAACUUCUUAGAGGGACUGGUGGCGUUUAGCCACACGAGAAUGAGCAAUAACAGGUCUGUGAUGCCCUUAGAUGUCCGGGGCCGCACGCGCGCUACACUGAAGGACUCAGCGAGUAUCCUGGCCAGAAAUGGUCGGGCAACCCAUUGAACCUCCUUCGUGCUAGGGAUUGGGGUUUGCAAUUCUCCCCCAUGAACGAGGAAUUCCCAGUAAGCGCGAGUCAUCAGCUCGCGUUGAUUACGUCCCUGCCCUUUGUACACACCGCCCGUCGCUACUACCGAUUGGAUGGCUUAGUGAGACCCUUGGACUGGUGCUCGAGGAGGCUGGAAACAGCCGAGCCCUGCAUGCCGGGAAGAAGGUCAAACUUGGCCAUCUAGAGGAAGUAAAAGUCGUAACA
Molecule: ribosomal RNA, 1765 nt
Filed under: Malacoceros fuliginosus
Lineage: Eukaryota; Metazoa; Annelida; Polychaeta; Spionida; Spionidae
Description: SSU rRNA
Rfam family: Eukaryotic small subunit ribosomal RNA
Source: RNAcentral